Molecule: long non-coding RNA, 211 nt
Filed under: Mytilus galloprovincialis (Mediterranean mussel)
Lineage: Eukaryota; Metazoa; Mollusca; Bivalvia; Mytilida; Mytilidae
Source: RNAcentral
CUUUUGAUAAAUAUUUUAGAUUUUAAAAUAUUUAAUGAGUUGAUGAUAUUGACAUUAAGCCCAAUUUUAUCGUCAAGAAUAAAUUGUACAAUGUAAAUAGUGUAUAGUGAUAUUGGUGGAAGAUAUUUUUAUUCAUAUUGUGAAAUCCAAUACUCGGAAGAGGUGUGCCUACAUUGGCAGAAUUUAUAUAACAGAUUACAGAUUACAGAUU